ACGAACGCUGGCGGCGCGCCUAACACCUGCAAGUCGAACGAGCGAGAGAGAGCUUGCUUUCUUGAGCGAGUGGCGAACGGGUGAGUAACGCGUGAGGAACCUGCCUCAAAGAGGGGGACAACAGUUGGAAACGACUGCUAAUACCGCAUAAGCCCACGGUGCCGCAUGGCACAGAGGGAAAAGGAGCAAUCCGCUUUGAGAUGGCCUCGCGUCCGAUUAGCUAGUUGGUGAGGUAACGGCCCACCAAGGCGACGAUCGGUAGCCGGACUGAGAGGUAGAACGGCCACAUUGGGACUGAGACACGGCCCAGACUCCUACGGGAGGCAGCAGUGGGGAAUAUUGCACAAUGGGGGAAACCCUGAUGCAGCGACGCCGCGUGGAGGAAGAAGGUCUUCGGAUUGUAAACUCCUGUUGUUGGGGAAGAUAAUGACGGUACCCAACAAGGAAGUGACGGCUAACUACGUG
This 465-nucleotide ribosomal RNA is filed under the name uncultured bacterium. Its description in RNAcentral is "partial 16S ribosomal RNA". It matches the Rfam family "Bacterial small subunit ribosomal RNA", at positions 29 to 507 of the family's 1533-position model. The record is from RNAcentral.